RNAcentral lists this ribosomal RNA (497 nucleotides) under uncultured bacterium. Its description in RNAcentral is "partial 16S ribosomal RNA". It matches the Rfam family "Bacterial small subunit ribosomal RNA", at positions 28 to 507 of the family's 1533-position model. The record is from RNAcentral.
GAUGAACGCUGGCGGCGUGCCUAAUACAUGCAAGUCGAGCGAACAGACGAGGAGCUUGCUCCUUUGACGUUAGCGGCGGACGGGUGAGUAACACGUGGGUAACCUACCUAUAAGACUGGGAUAACUUCGGGAAACCGGAGCUAAUACCGGAUAAUAUUUCGAACCGCAUGGUUCGAUAGUGAAAGAUGGCUUUGCUAUCACUUAUAGAUGGACCUGCGCCGUAUUAGCUAGUUGGUAAGGUAACGGCUUACCAAGGCAACGAUACGUAGCCGACCUGAGAGGGUGGUCGGCCACACUGGAACUGAGACACGGUCCAGACUCCUACGGGAGGCAGCAGUAGGGAAUCUUCCGCAAUGGGCGAAAGCCUGACGGAGCAACGCCGCGUGAGUGAUGAAGGUCUUCGGAUCGUAAAACUCUGUUAUUAGGGAAGAACAAACGUGUAAGUAACUGUGCACGUCUUGACGGUACCUAAUCAGAAAGCCACGGCUAACUACGUG